AUUUUUCUACCUCUUGUCGCAUAUAUUUCAUUUAAAAUUCGAAUUUAAAUUAUUCAGAGGUUCACACGCCAGCUAGGAAAGUUAUUUGAUGUAUGAAAUCAUUUAAUAUAUUGCUUAAUGUUUGAAUUCAAAUUCAAACAACAAACAAUGUCGCCAUGCGUCAAGCAAUGGGUCCAUGCGCCAUGCAAUAAUUUUGGUUUAUUUAAAAUUCAUGAAAU
RNAcentral lists this long non-coding RNA (218 nucleotides) under Phoenix dactylifera (date palm). RNAcentral describes it as "long non-coding RNA (PDAC_LNC010237)". The record is from RNAcentral. Lineage: Eukaryota; Viridiplantae; Streptophyta; Magnoliopsida; Arecales; Arecaceae.